UUAUCAGUUAAUUAUAUUUUCUUUCCUAAUCCUAAAUAUAUGAAGUAAAAAAAAAUAAAAAAUCCAAGACAGAACACAAUAAUGGAAACUGAGAACGAGAAGAAGCUCAAACUCCGCCGUUCCUAAUCCUCUGUUGUCUCUCGUCAAGCUCGCAACUCAAGCUCCCACUUCAAUCUCUCGUUCAAUCUCUCCUUCAAUCUCUCGUUUCCGUCGAAGAAGCUCGCAACUCUCUUCAAUCUCUUGUCGCGCAUCUCUCCUCUCCGUUGCCGUCGUUUUCACGAUUCCAAUCUAAAAAGAGCUACUCGGAAAGUGACAGUGUUACAAAUGGCUACUAGAGCUGCUCGGAAAGGGACAAUUUAAAAUAGCAAGGAUGAUUCUUUGUUUUUUAUGAAGGGGUUAUCGGAAGAGUAGAAAGGGUGGUUUGUCAGCAUGGGAGCAGGCAGGAGCUCAAGAGUGGUUAGAAGUUGUCACUGAAGAUUUGGAAGGAUCUUCACCAAAUAGGUUUUUUUGGUGUAGACUUUACUUUCAAUUUGUUAGACAUAUAUUUGAUUUGUUUUUCUUAGUGUUAUUGUUGUAUAACAUAAUGGUUGCCAAUCUCUUGAGAUUCUAAAAAUUUACACCAAA
Trifolium pratense (red clover) is the source of this 624-nucleotide long non-coding RNA. RefSeq lists it as uncharacterized. The transcript is spliced from 4 exons. The record is from RefSeq and is a predicted model, not a curated record. Lineage: Eukaryota; Viridiplantae; Streptophyta; Magnoliopsida; Fabales; Fabaceae.